RNAcentral lists this ribosomal RNA (447 nucleotides) under Micromonospora sp. HVYN-7-2. RNAcentral describes it as "bacterial SSU rRNA". It matches the Rfam family "Bacterial small subunit ribosomal RNA", at positions 50 to 517 of the family's 1533-position model. Lineage: Bacteria; Bacillati; Actinomycetota; Actinomycetes; Micromonosporales; Micromonosporaceae. The record is from RNAcentral.
UACACAUGCAGUCGAGCGGAAGGCCCUUCGGGGUACUCGAGCGGCGAACGGGUGAGUAACACGUGAGCAACCUGCCCUAGGCUUUGGGAUAACCCCGGGAAACCGGGGCUAAUACCGAAUAUGACCUGGCCUCGCAUGAGGCUUGGUGGAAAGUUUUUCGGCCUGGGAUGGGCUCGCGGCCUAUCAGCUUGUUGGUGGGGUGAUGGCCUACCAAGGCGACGACGGGUAGCCGGCCUGAGAGGGCGACCGGCCACACUGGGACUGAGACACGGCCCAGACUCCUACGGGAGGCAGCAGUGGGGAAUAUUGCACAAUGGGCGGAAGCCUGAUGCAGCGACGCCGCGUGAGGGAUGACGGCCUUCGGGUUGUAAACCUCUUUCAGCAGGGACGAAGCGUAAGUGACGGUACCUGCAGAAGAAGCGCCGGCCAACUACGUGCCAGCAGCCG